GGGUAGUCCGCAACGAGCGCAACCCUUAUCCUUUGUUGCCAGCACGUAAUGGUGGGAACUCAAAGGAGACUGCCGGGGAUAAACCGGAGGAAGGGGGGGAUGACGUCAAGUCAUCAUGGCCCUUACGAGUAGGGCUACACACGUGCUACAAUGGCAGAUACAAAGAGAAGCGACCUCGCGAGAGCAAGCGGAACUCAUAAAGUCUGUCGUAGUCCGGAUUGGAGUCUGCAACUCGACUCCAUGAAGUCGGAAUCGCUAGUAAUCGUAAAUCAAAAUGCUACGGUGAAUACGUUCCCGGGCCUUGUACACACCGCCCGA
This 318-nucleotide ribosomal RNA is filed under the name Proteus mirabilis. RNAcentral's name for it is "bacterial SSU rRNA". It matches the Rfam family "Bacterial small subunit ribosomal RNA", at positions 1077 to 1397 of the family's 1533-position model. The record is from RNAcentral. Lineage: Bacteria; Pseudomonadati; Pseudomonadota; Gammaproteobacteria; Enterobacterales; Morganellaceae.